Manihot esculenta (cassava) is the source of this 1486-nucleotide long non-coding RNA. RefSeq lists it as uncharacterized. The record is from RefSeq and is a predicted model, not a curated record. Lineage: Eukaryota; Viridiplantae; Streptophyta; Magnoliopsida; Malpighiales; Euphorbiaceae. The transcript has 2 exons.
CACUUGUCAAAACGCACGUGCACAUUGACCCACGUAUAAACCCUCGCUUUUUUUCCUGUUUGCCAUUUGCUAGCCUAAUCUCUCUCAGCUCUCGCUCCCUUGAAAACAAGUAUUCACAAUUUGCACUCAAUAACACAGUAAACCCUGUUCCAAAUUCAAUUAGUGAGGAGUUUUGAAAAAUUCCAGCAUCUCGGCAUUUUCCUGGACAGACACAUUGGAGCUGAAAUUGCAGAUUGAGAAGAUGCUUGGGUAUCUAAGAGACCAGAAGUACGUUGACCUUCUCACAAAGUUUCUGAGUCUUAAGGUUAACAAAUCUGAUUUUGAUAGACUCUGCACUGGUACAGUAGGGAGAGAAAAUGUACUACUUCAUAACCUCCUCCUCAGAUCAAUUAUAAAAGAGGCACAAUUCUUCAAGACUCUCCCGACGAAGGAGAGCAAAGCAAAAGGUGAUCUAAGUGGCAAAGUGCCUAAUAGGUAUAAAAAGGUAGCCUUCAAUCCCUAUGUAGCGAUUUUCUCCAAUCUCCUUGUACAGGGAGGUCAAUUCUUAGUGCAUGCAAGUUUAGGGAUCACCAUAGCACUCUUGGCCCUCAUGAGAAGAGCCACACUACUGCAUUUGAAGAUUCAGUCCCUAAAAACCAAGAACAGAGUACUACUGAGCUGCUUUCUAUGUGCAGUAGACCCCCAUGCUCUGUGGAAGAUGGAGAAGAGGAUGAUCAGGCUGCUGGAAGCCCCAACAUUUGUAGUAGGAGCCCCAUUAGAGCUCCUCUUGGUAUCUCCUUUAAUGCUAAAGGGGCAUGAGAAGUGCUUUAUAAUGACUUAGCAUCUUCUUAUUACAUGGGGACAUGUCAGAAAAGCGGUGAAUUACCUGAUUCCAAUUCUUCAAGGAAGAGGUUGGAGCAUAAGUUGGAGAUGGAAGGAAUAAAAGUUUCAGUUGAUUGUGCCAAUUUGUUAAAUAACAGCUUGGAUGUUUACUUGAAGGGAUUGAUGAAUCCCUGUAUAGGUCUAGCUGGAGGGAAACGUGCAGGCCAAGGACAGAUUCAAUCCGUAUCUGGUUUGAAAGGUGUAUGGCCUGUGAGAUAUAUUAAAAAACUAGGGGGUCCAUUGCAGUGUCCAUGUUAGAUUUUCAGCUUGCAGUAGAACUAAACCCUCAGACCCUUGAAGAAGAGUGGCCAACUCAACUAGAGAAGGUUUUAUUUCAUGCAUCAGAAGAAUGAACAAGAAUAUUAAUGCAAGAUUUGGUGGGAUGGGAAGUUUAGGUUCCAAGAUAUUGUGAGUUAAUAGUAUUACAAGAUUUGGUGGGAUGAAGUUGAUCAGACUGUACGUAGGCCUUUGGACUCAUUAUCUCCAGGGUGUGACAUGGUAGAGUGUGAAUACAUUGACAUUGUAAGAAUAUACUGGUGCCAAAUUGGUCAGUUUCCUCCUCCAACUGACCCUAUAGUUUGUUUGUUCAAUUUAUUAUAUUUGUGAAUAAAGCUUACAUUUCCAA